UGACAAAAGUGGUAUCAGAGAGGUUCGUCCUAGUGAGUCUACAAAGCCGUGUCUACAUAGAGUCUUGUUUAUCGGUGUGUUGUGCACCACAUCCAUAAACAGGAGGCUAUGGACAUUUAGGAAAUUGUUUCUUUUCUUCAGAUCAUAGAUCGUGCCAUAGAGUUUAUAUAGCAAACGAAGUCAUAGUUGGCCACUGAAUCCAUUUGUUUCUCUUAUUACAGUAAGAAUGCCGGAUACCGGAAGUAAGAAUACCGGCGAGCGGGUAGACGUAGCUGCCGGAGAAGGGACUAGUAAGUCACCACUGUACAAGUUAAUUAGAGUGAAGCUCAAGUUGAGCGGGUAUCUGAAAUGUCUUCCACUCCAGAUGGAAUAAGGGGGAGGCGAACCACAUUCACAGAACCACUUGUUAAU
Molecule: long non-coding RNA, 411 nt
Filed under: Capsicum annuum
Lineage: Eukaryota; Viridiplantae; Streptophyta; Magnoliopsida; Solanales; Solanaceae
Description: long non-coding RNA (CANN_LNC003456)
Source: RNAcentral